Non-coding RNA from Chrysemys picta bellii (western painted turtle), 671 nucleotides. The record is from RefSeq and is a predicted model, not a curated record. Lineage: Eukaryota; Metazoa; Chordata; Testudines; Emydidae.
CCCUAACAUCCCCCCAUGCUGAUUUUUUUUGUUUUUCCCCCUCUGCUGGGUUUAGUACCAAGGAAAAAGAAGUCGAGCGUCAGAGUCUACUGCCCUCGUGCGAUGGGAGCUGCGCUUGCAGAGGAAUUGUCCAGGAGCCCCAGCCGGAGGAGAAACUGGCAGAUGUGGACAUGAGCAGACUGGACAUCCUUGUCAGCAGACAUGAACAGUCCUCCGCUUUCUGCCUUCCACAUAACUGGCUCUGCGCUGGCAGAGGAAUUGGCCAGGAGCCCCAGCCGGAGGAGAAACUGGCAGAGGUGGACCUGAGCAGCUUAACUGAGCGUGCGUAAUCAGUCAGUGCUCGGAAUUGCUCAUCUGUAGUCGCUGUAGUUUUCGUCACAGGCCGUGUGCUUCCUCGUUGGGUACGGGGCUUUGUGGGAUUAAGGCUGGGGAAGGGAUCGCAGUCACAGUUGCCAACUUUCACAGGGUAAAUCAUCUCCCCGACUUUCACAAUAAGCCAAAAACCAAGCUAAUCCCAUUUCAAAACAAGGCCAAAACAAGUUAAAGAACCCCAACACUGUAUGUGACUAGAUCCCCUCAGCGUGGAGUCUGCGACUGUGGGGGGCCUGCUGUGCACCCCUGACUCUCUUCCCCUCUUUGCCCCGGCUUGCCCCGUGCCUUUGCUUCCCCCC